RNAcentral lists this unclassified non-coding RNA (351 nucleotides) under soil metagenome. RNAcentral's name for it is "partial contains 5.8S ribosomal RNA, internal transcribed spacer 2, and large subunit ribosomal RNA". The stretch from base 1 to 120 matches the Rfam family "5.8S ribosomal RNA", at positions 35 to 154 of the family's 154-position model. The record is from RNAcentral.
GAUGAAGAACGUAGUGAAAUGCGAUAAGUAAUGUGAAUUGCAGAAUUCAGUGAAUCAUCGAAUCUUUGAACGCACAUUGCGCCCGCCAGUAUUCUGGCGGGCAUGCCUGUUCGAGCGUCAUUACAACCCUCAGGCCCCCGGGCCUGGCGUUGGGGAUCGGCGGAGCCCCCCGUGGGCACACGCCGUCCCCCAAAUGCAGUGGCGGUCCCGCCGCAGCUUCCAUCGCGUAGUAGCUAACACCUCGCGACUGGAGAGCGGCGCGGCCACGCCGUAAAACACCCAACUCUUCUGAAGUUGACCUCGAAUCAGGUAGGAAUACCCGCUGAACUUAAGCAUAUCAAUAAGCGAGGA